GGAACCCUUUUCCUUGGUUUCCUACUUGAAGCAGUGUUUGUUUUCCUCCUCAGCUGAUUUUGGCCUCUGUGCUGUGCUCAGCCCUGAGCACAGGAAACGGAGGUCGAUGGUCGGGACCACUUACUGGAUGGCACCCGAGGUGGUGAGAAGAGAGCCUUACGGCCCCAAAGUGGACACCUGGUCCCUUGGCAUUGUGGGAAUAGAAAUGGCCACAGGAGAGGCUCCUUAUAUGCAGGAGACCAGUGACAAGGCCAGCUACCUGAUAGGCAAGCAAGGGGUUCCAAAUCUGCACCAGCUCAGGCUACCCCCUGGCUUGUGUGAAUUUCUGGGCUGCUGCCUGCAGAUGGAUGUGGACAGGCAAGGCUCUGCCAAGGAACUUCUGCAGCAUCCAUUUCUGCAAUCAGCAGAGCCUCUCUUAAGCCUCUUCUGACAGCCUGAUUGCUGCCAUCCCUGCAGCAAGGGAAUGCAGGAAGCAAAGGAAAUGAGAAGGACCACGUCAGCACUGGAGAACAGAGCCUCUGAGAGCACGUAGGAAUCCAGAGAAGAGAGGGGCUAGGAAAGAGGGAGCCAUCAGAGCAGGAAAGGAAGGAGCUGGAAGGGCAGCGUUUGGAGGCACAGUAGCUGCUGGCACCAUGGGCAAACUUCCUGGCAGAGGUAGAGAAGGAGCAGGAGAAAAGGCUGCUUGAGAUGAAGCAGGAAGUUGCCACCAUGCAAGUGACCAAGAAGAGAAAAUCAGCUCCAUCUCAGAACCCCACCAACACCAGUCAAGUGACAUCUCUGGGACCUUCUGAGAGAGACGCUCCAGCAAGACCUGCUCAGAAACGGCCUCUGGCUUCUGAAUUUAUCAGUCCUGUGAUGAGGAAGAAGAGGACAAUUGGUCACUGGCCCAGUCAUGUCCAGGCAGCAGCUGGUGGCCACUUUUCUUCCUUCUUUCUGCCUUCCACAUCCCUUUGCUUUUUGGACAUGCUUCCAAGUUUUGGCUCCAUUUCCCCCUGCACUCAUGUGGUGCAAAAACGAGAGAAAUUUCAGAGUUCCAUCAUCCCAGCACCUGCCAGAGUGCAGAGGAGAUCCCCAAUUCAAACAGGAAGAAAAAUGAAUUGGGAAGACUGAAGCAGUUGCAUCCCUUGGAUUUCGAUGAAGGAACAAGAAAAGAUCCUUCCAUUGCCUCCACAUGCUCUGCAACAAGCAACCAAGCAGACUACUUGAGAAAAUACAGAGCAAUUGUCUCCUUGGAGCAACGCUAGCACUACAAGGACGACUUCAAUGCAGAAUAUGAGGAAUAUUGGAAUUUAUAUUUUAAGAUUGACAAGAUCAUCAAGAAAUUCAGACAAUUUCAGGAGCAAUGGAAGUCUCUGACUCCAGGCUCCAAAGCUUAUCAGAUGCUGCAUUAUCGAAUCCUAGCAGAUUAUCAGCAGUUACAACAGGGUAGCCCCAGCUACUCUGAAAUGAAGAGUGGGUGCCAGUACCUCCACAAGAAGCUGGCCCAUAUUCAGAGCCGCAUUUCUGAAUUUGACCAGCAGUGAGUGGAGUACUGGCACCAGACAUCAGCUUCAGCAUGGAAGAUCUCUGAAAUCAGGAUUUUUCAUUUCAACUAGAAGAUUAGAUUUUUUAGGAUUCUUUAAAUUAGUACAGAAGAGUAGGUUAUCUUAGCACUGAGCAGUAGGUGAUUUCUUAUAAAUGUAGGAUUAGUUCAAAGAAGUUUAGUAAGUUUAAGUCAAAGUUGAAAGAUGAUAGUAUUGAAAUUUAACAAUAAAGAAAUCUCACUAUUGGUAA
Long non-coding RNA from Passer domesticus (house sparrow), 1773 nucleotides. RefSeq lists it as uncharacterized. The transcript is spliced from 10 exons. Lineage: Eukaryota; Metazoa; Chordata; Aves; Passeriformes; Passeridae. The record is from RefSeq and is a predicted model, not a curated record.